Molecule: ribosomal RNA, 442 nt
Filed under: uncultured bacterium
Lineage: Bacteria
Description: partial 16S ribosomal RNA
Rfam family: Bacterial small subunit ribosomal RNA
Source: RNAcentral
CCUACGGGCGGCAGCAGUCGGGAAUCUUUGGCAAUGGGCGCAAGCCUGACCGAGCAACGCCGCGUGAAGGAAGAAGGCUUUUGGGUUGUAAACUUCCUGUAAGAGGGAAGAGCAGAAGACGGUACCUCUUGAAUAAGCCACGGCUAACUACGUGCCAGCAGCCGCGGUAAUACGUAGGUGGCAAGCGUUGUCCGGAUUUACUGGGUGUAAAGGGCGUGUAGGCGGGCUGACAAGUCAGAUGUGAAAUCCGGGGGCUCAACCCCCGAACUGCAUAUGAAACUGUUGGUCUUGAGUAUCGGAGAGGCAGGCGGAAUUCCUAGUGUAGCAGUGAAAUGCGUAGAUAUUAGGAGGAACACCAGUGGCGAAGGCGGCCUGCUGGACGACAACUGACGGUGAGGCGCGAAGGCGUGGGGAGCGAACGGGAUUAGAUACCCCGGUAGUC